Non-coding RNA from Physcomitrium patens, 979 nucleotides. The record is from RefSeq and is a predicted model, not a curated record. Lineage: Eukaryota; Viridiplantae; Streptophyta; Bryopsida; Funariales; Funariaceae.
ACCAGCCAUGGCGCGGCGGCUUCCUUCGACGGUUUUUGUCUCUUCAAAUUUCGUGUUCUAGGCUUUCAUCGUAUCUCCAGUUUCGUUUUUUUCUUUAUUUUCUACGCUCGUAGCUUUAGACAUCCCUAGUCUAUUCGGUGGGAGCUGUUUUAGAAACACGAUUAUUUUGGUUGGAUCAUUUUUGGAGAGCUCAGAGUAGGGAGUGGGGCUAUCCUCGGGCGAUCCUGAGCUCGUCUUGUUAUUCUUGGUAUUCGCAUAAGUGCUGUACGAAUUCGCUAAUUAGUGGCAAUUAUUGUGUGCAGGAUUUGGUUUCUGAGUUAAAUAUUCGUUAGGAUUGAUCAGAGCUGUGUAUUCAUUCAGUGCCCUGCGUCAAUUGCUCGAACAACUUCAAAGUCUCCAGAUUCAGGCUUACAAAAGUUCAAAUCCUGAAAACAACAGCUUCAUGAUCUCCACCAAACUAUAUCAAGUCUAGCUUCCAGACUUUCGAUUCCACAUCUGUACAAAGCCCCACCGUAGUACGCAAGGGUAAAUGUUCUGGUAUGCUAUCUGCUGAUGUCUUUGAAAAGUUAUCAAUAUUCAUAUUUAUCUAAUCCAGCGGAAAAUACUACAAACUAGCAUAACUAUGUAAGAACAUUUAAAUUUUUUAGUAUCUUUUUACAUACUUAUAGAAGAUUUGAAUUUUCAUCUGGAAUAAAUCUUAAUCACAUAAUAUUAAAUUCAUUUGCUGUAAGCAAUAUUUAAGAGUCAACUUACUUACUGAUUAUUUUCCUCCAUAGUUACAACGUUUAUGCCAAUGUUGUUGUGCAUAAAAGGAAAACAAUUUUAAUUCCAAAAAAUUAACAUAAUGAUACACACUAAUCAUUUAAAAUGAUUGAUGGUUUUUUCAACAUGUUCAUAUGUACUUACUUAUGUAUGUUUCUCAAAGUUUGUUGUCCUCGAAUUAAAAGUUCAAAAUGUAAAGAAGGAAGCUUAAACUAUA